AGCGUACACGGUGGAUGCCCUGGCAGUCAGAGGCGAUGAAGGACGUGCUAAUCUGCGAUAAGCGUCGGUAAGGUGAUAUGAACCGUUAUAACCGGCGAUUUCCGAAUGGGGAAACCCAGUGUGAUUCGUCACACUAUCAUUAACUGAAUCCAUAGGUUAAUGAGGCGAACCGGGGGAACUGAAACAUCUAAGUACCCCGAGGAAAAGAAAUCAACCGAGAUUCCCCCAGUAGCGGCGAGCGAACGGGGAGCAGCCCAGAGCCUGAAUCAGUGUGUGUGUUAGUGGAAGCGUCUGGAAAGGCGCGCGAUACAGGGUGACAGCCCCGUACACAAAAAUGCACAUACUGUGAGCUCGAUGAGUAGGGCGGGACACGUGGUAUCCUGUCUGAAUAUGGGGGGACCAUCCUCCAAGGCUAAAUACUCCUGACUGACCGAUAGUGAACCAGUACCGUGAGGGAAAGGCGAAAAGAACCCCGGCGAGGGGAGUGAAAAAGAACCUGAAACCGUGUACGUACAAGCAGUGGGAGCACAGAGCAAUCUGUGUGACUGCGUACCUUUUGUAUAAUGGGUCAGCGACUUAUAUUCUGUAGCAAGGUUAACCGAAUAGGGGAGCCGAAGGGAAACCGAGUCUUAACUGGGCGUUAAGUUGCAGGGUAUAGACCCGAAACCCGGUGAUCUAGCCAUGGGCAGGUUGAAGGUUGGGUAACACUAACUGGAGGACCGAACCGACUAAUGUUGAAAAAUUAGCGGAUGACUUGUGGCUGGGGGUGAAAGGCCAAUCAAACCGGGAGAUAGCUGGUUCUCCCCGAAAGCUAUUUAGGUAGCGCCUCGUGAAUUCAUCUCCGGGGGUAGAGCACUGUUUCGGCAAGGGGGUCAUCCCGACUUACCAACCCGAUGCAAACUGCGAAUACCGGAGAAUGUUAUCACGGGAGACACACGGCGGGUGCUAACGUCCGUCGUGAAGAGGGAAACAACCCAGACCGCCAGCUAAGGUCCCAAAGUCAUGGUUAAGUGGGAAACGAUGUGGGAAGGCCCAGACAGCCAGGAUGUUGGCUUAGAAGCAGCCAUCAUUUAAAGAAAGCGUAAUAGCUCACUGGUCGAGUCGGCCUGCGCGGAAGAUGUAACGGGGCUAAACCAUGCACCGAAGCUGCGGCAGCGACGCUUAUGCGUUGUUGGGUAGGGGAGCGUUCUGUAAGCCUGUGAAGGUGUGCUGUGAGGCAUGCUGGAGGUAUCAGAAGUGCGAAUGCUGACAUAAGUAACGAUAAAGCGGGUGAAAAGCCCGCUCGCCGGAAGACCAAGGGUUCCUGUCCAACGUUAAUCGGGGCAGGGUGAGUCGACCCCUAAGGCGAGGCCGAAAGGCGUAGUCGAUGGGAAACAGGUUAAUAUUCCUGUACUUGGUGUUACUGCGAAGGGGGGACGGAGAAGGCUAUGUUGGCCGGGCGACGGUUGUCCCGGUUUAAGCGUGUAGGCUGGUUUUCCAGGCAAAUCCGGAAAAUCAAGGCUGAGGCGUGAUGACGAGGCACUACGGUGCUGAAGCAACAAAUGCCCUGCUUCCAGGAAAAGCCUCUAAGCAUCAGGUAACAUCAAAUCGUACCCCAAACCGACACAGGUGGUCAGGUAGAGAAUACCAAGGCGCUUGAGAGAACUCGGGUGAAGGAACUAGGCAAAAUGGUGCCGUAACUUCGGGAGAAGGCACGCUGAUAUGUAGGUGAAGUCCCUCGCGGAUGGAGCUGAAAUCAGUCGAAGAUACCAGCUGGCUGCAACUGUUUAUUAAAAACACAGCACUGUGCAAACACGAAAGUGGACGUAUACGGUGUGACGCCUGCCCGGUGCCGGAAGGUUAAUUGAUGGGGUCAGCGCAAGCGAAGCUCUUGAUCGAAGCCCCGGUAAACGGCGGCCGUAACUAUAACGGUCCUAAGGUAGCGAAAUUCCUUGUCGGGUAAGUUCCGACCUGCACGAAUGGCGUAAUGAUGGCCAGGCUGUCUCCACCCGAGACUCAGUGAAAUUGAACUCGCUGUGAAGAUGCAGUGUACCCGCGGCAAGACGGAAAGACCCCGUGAACCUUUACUAUAGCUUGACACUGAACAUUGAGCCUUGAUGUGUAGGAUAGGUGGGAGGCUUUGAAGUGUGGACGCCAGUCUGCAUGGAGCCGACCUUGAAAUACCACCCUUUAAUGUUUGAUGUUCUAACGUUGACCCGUAAUCCGGGUUGCGGACAGUGUCUGGUGGGUAGUUUGACUGGGGCGGUCUCCUCCUAAAGAGUAACGGAGGAGCACGAAGGUUGGCUAAUCCUGGUCGGACAUCAGGAGGUUAGUGCAAUGGCAUAAGCCAGCUUGACUGCGAGCGUGACGGCGCGAGCAGGUGCGAAAGCAGGUCAUAGUGAUCCGGUGGUUCUGAAUGGAAGGGCCAUCGCUCAACGGAUAAAAGGUACUCCGGGGAUAACAGGCUGAUACCGCCCAAGAGUUCAUAUCGACGGCGGUGUUUGGCACCUCGAUGUCGGCUCAUCACAUCCUGGGGCUGAAGUAGGUCCCAAGGGUAUGGCUGUUCGCCAUUUAAAGUGGUACGCGAGCUGGGUUUAGAACGUCGUGAGACAGUUCGGUCCCUAUCUGCCGUGGGCGCUGGAGAACUGAGGGGGGCUGCUCCUAGUACGAGAGGACCGGAGUGGACGCAUCACUGGUGUUCGGGUUGUCAUGCCAAUGGCACUGCCCGGUAGCUAAAUGCGGAAGAGAUAAGUGCUGAAAGCAUCUAAGCACGAAACUUGCCCCGAGAUGAGUUCU
This 2775-nucleotide ribosomal RNA is filed under the name Escherichia coli. Its description in RNAcentral is "bacterial LSU rRNA". It matches the Rfam family "Bacterial large subunit ribosomal RNA". Lineage: Bacteria; Pseudomonadati; Pseudomonadota; Gammaproteobacteria; Enterobacterales; Enterobacteriaceae. The record is from RNAcentral.